AAAGAUAUUCGUGUCAGACACGUGACGGCGCACAUUAGCAGACGACUAUUAGCCAGCAGAUUAUUAUUUAAGUACCAAGAGGGCGCAGGCUUCGGUUGUCAUCCCCACAAGUACUUCCUUCUUUCUCUCUUUCUCGAUCUCGCUUGAGCCCCGCUUUCAAAACCUCUCGUUGUAUAGGGAUUACUGUUUGUUGGUUCUGGAUUUCAGAGUUCAUGACGACGACGGCCUCUUUUGGAGCUGCGAACACUGCAGUUUUGAAAGACCCGAAGAUCAAAAUACGGAGUUUUGAUGGUUUGAGGCAUUCAAAUUCUCUUGCUUUGACCAGACCUGAGAAUGUAUUUUCUGUUUCUUCGUCCAGACCUUCGCUUAUACGAGCUGUUUCGACGCCAGUGAAGCCAGAAAAAGAGACUAAGCGCAGCAAGGUUGAAAUAAUCAAAGAACAUAGUAAUUACAUCAGGUACCCUCUUAAUGAGGAGUUGCUGACAGACGCCCCAAAUAUUAAUGAGUCUGCUACCCAAAUAAUCAAGUUCCAUGGGAGCUAUCAGCAGUAUAACAGAGAUGAACGUGGUGCAAAAUCCUACUCUUUUAUGCUUCGAACUAAGAACCCUUGUGGCAAGGUCUCAAACAAACUGUACUUGACCAUGGAUGAUCUUGCUGAUCAGUUUGGAAUUGGAACUCUUCGUUUGACAACCAGACAGACAUUUCAACUCCAUGGUGUUUUGAAGAAAAACCUCAAGACUGUAAUGAGUAGUAUCAUUCAUAGCAUGGGCACAACUCUUGGUGCAUGCGGUGAUCUCAACCGGAAUGUCCUGGCCCCUGCUGCCCCAUUUGCGAGAAAAGAUUACCAAUUUGCACAGAAAACUGCUGAGAAUAUUGCCGCACUCCUCACUCCUCAGUCUGGGUUCUACUAUGAUAUGUGGGUGGAUGGGGAGAAAAUCUUGACAGCUGAACCUCCUGAGGUAGUGGAGGCCCGCAAUGACAAUUCUCAUGGAACAAAUUUUCCAGACUCACCAGAGCCCAUUUAUGGAGCCCAAUUCUUGCCUAGAAAGUUCAAAAUUGCCGUCACUGUGCCGGCAGAUAACUCAGUGGAUAUUCUCACAAAUGACGUUGGUAUUGUUGUGGUUACAGAUGCCAAUGGGGAGCCCCAGGGGUUCAACAUAUAUGUUGGUGGUGGUAUGGGAAGAACACAUAGGCUGGAGAACACUUUUCCACGUCUGGCUGAACCAUUGGGCUAUGUACCAAAAGAAGACAUUUUAUAUGCAGUGAAAGCUAUUGUUGUUACCCAACGAGAAAAUGGGAGGAGAGAUGAUAGAAAAUACAGUAGAAUGAAAUAUUUGAUCAGUUCCUGGGGGAUUGAGAAGUUCAGAAGUGUCGUCGAGCAAUAUUAUGGAAAGAAAUUU
Molecule: unclassified non-coding RNA, 1400 nt
Filed under: Hevea brasiliensis (rubber tree)
Lineage: Eukaryota; Viridiplantae; Streptophyta; Magnoliopsida; Malpighiales; Euphorbiaceae
Source: RNAcentral